CUAGUGUAGAGGUGAAUUCGUAGAUAUUAGAAAGAAUACCAAUUGCGAAGGCAGCUUUCUGGAUCAUUACUGACACUGAGGAACGAAAGCAUGGGUAGCGAAGAGGAUUAGAUACCCUCGUAGUCCAUGCCGUAAACGAUGUGUGUUAGACGUUGGAAAUUUAUUUUCAGUGUCGCAGCGAAAGCGAUAAACACACCGCCUGGGGAGUACGACCGCAAGGUUAAAACUCAAAUGAAUUGACGGGGACCCGCACAAGUAGUGGAGCAUGUGGUUUAAUUCGAAGAUACGCGCAGAACCUUACCAACACUUGACAUGUUCGUCGCGACUCUAAGAGAUUAGAGUUUUCGGUUCGGCCGGACGAAACACAGGUGCUGCAUGGCUGUCGUCAGCUCGUGUCGUGAGAUGUUGGGUUAAGUCCCGCAACGAGCGCAACCCUCACUUUUAGUUGCCAUCAUUUAGUUGGGCACUCUGAAAGAACUGCCAGUGAUAAGCUGGAGGAAGGUGGGGAUGACGUCAAGUCCUCAUGGCCCUUACGUGUUGGGCUACACACGUGCUACAAUGGUAUCUACAACAGGAAGCAAAACUGCGAAGUUAAGCAAAUCCUUAAAAGAUACCUCAGUUCGGAUUGCACUCUGCAACUCGAGUGCAUGAAGCUGGAAUUACUAGUAAUCGUGGAUCAGCGUGCCACGGUGAAUGCGUUCCCGGGUCUUGUACACACCGCCCGUCACACCAUGGGAGUUGGUUCUACCUUAAGGCAAGGUUUAAAACCCUUGACCACGGUAUAGUCAGCGACUGGGGUGAAGUCGUAACAAGGUAGCCGUAGGGGAACCUGCGGCUG
This 838-nucleotide ribosomal RNA is filed under the name marine metagenome. RNAcentral's name for it is "bacterial SSU rRNA". It matches the Rfam family "Bacterial small subunit ribosomal RNA", at positions 670 to 1520 of the family's 1533-position model. The record is from RNAcentral.